AAAUUUGGAUCCUUUUGGCUGGAAAGAUUGUCAGGAACCUGAAGAAACUGAAUCCACAAUAAACAUAUGUACACAAACAGAAAAAUAACAACACUGGUUGAUACAAUUCUAGGAACCGGAAGAAGUUAAAAGUUUGACUUGCAACGGAAAAUCCGGGAAACAUGUCUUUUACUGAACAGUAUGAGAGAGCAAUGAUGAUUAUUGGAUUUAAACUGCUUGGAAAAUAUAACCAAAUGAAGACGAAAAAUGCACUGCAUCAACAAACAAAACAACUACUGAAAGAUUGGGAUUCUAAAAACAAUUGUUCAAAAUCUUCUACAAGUUUAAGAAGACUGUACAUACAUGUAUAUAUAUAUAUAUAUUUAUAUAAGAAAGAAAAAAGUUUCAAGCACAUGCAUUAUUUUGUGUACAUAAAUGUAA
Mytilus californianus (California mussel) is the source of this 420-nucleotide long non-coding RNA. RefSeq lists it as uncharacterized. The transcript is spliced from 2 exons. The record is from RefSeq and is a predicted model, not a curated record. Lineage: Eukaryota; Metazoa; Mollusca; Bivalvia; Mytilida; Mytilidae.